UACAGAGGUGGCAAGCGUUGUUCGGAAUUACUGGGCGUAAAGGGCGCGUAGGCGGCCUUCUAAGUCAGACGUGAAAUCCCCAGGCUUAACUUGGGAACUGCGUCUGAUACUGGAAGGCUUGAGUGCGGGAGAGGGAUGUGGAAUUCCAGGUGUAGCGGUGAAAUGCGUAGAUAUCUGGAGGAACACCGGUGGCGAAGGCGGCAUCCUGGACCGAUACUGACGCUGAGGCACGAAAGCGUGGGGAGCAAACAGG
This 253-nucleotide ribosomal RNA is filed under the name uncultured bacterium. RNAcentral describes it as "partial 16S ribosomal RNA". It matches the Rfam family "Bacterial small subunit ribosomal RNA", at positions 524 to 776 of the family's 1533-position model. The record is from RNAcentral.